AUGACAUUUUCCAGUAAGAGAGAUGACGAAGGCAAGGUUUUAACAAUUCCGUUUGGGUAUUGUGAUGGCAACCCAAACAAGAAGCAAUCUGGUUGUAUAGAGAGAACAAGACGAAACAAUCUAGCUAGGAAUUCCUCGGGUUCACCUAUCAGCAAUGAUAUCCAUACUGGAGAGAUGUCUUCAUCCAGGUUUUAUUGGGAAUUGUCAAUCAAGGGGACAGGAAGAUGACUAUGGGACAAGAUGGAGGAGGCCAGAGAGCUCCCACUGCCUGCCCUUGAUACACAACUACUCAAGAGUAAAGUUCAAACCGCAGCCCCCCAAACUCACGUGAAUAUCAAUUCAACGACAUAAGGUAUUGGAUGGAAUUCAAAAUCUCUCCCUAG
Molecule: long non-coding RNA, 383 nt
Filed under: Mus spicilegus (steppe mouse)
Lineage: Eukaryota; Metazoa; Chordata; Mammalia; Rodentia; Muridae
Description: lncRNA (ENSMSIG00000026960.1)
Source: RNAcentral